Molecule: ribosomal RNA, 880 nt
Filed under: Cylindrosympodium variabile
Lineage: Eukaryota; Fungi; Ascomycota; Dothideomycetes; Venturiales; Cylindrosympodiaceae
Description: eukaryotic LSU rRNA
Rfam family: Eukaryotic large subunit ribosomal RNA
Source: RNAcentral
GCAUAUCAAUAAGCGGAGGAAAAGAAACCAACAGGGAUUGCCUCAGUAACGGCGAGUGAAGCGGCAACAGCUCAAAUUUGAAAUCUGGCUCCUUCGGGGUCCGAGUUGUAAUUUGUAGAGGGUGCUUCGAGUGAAGCCCCGGCCCAAGUCCCUUGGAACAGGACGUCAGAGAGGGUGAGAACCCCGUGUCCGGCCGGCGGCGCUCCUCGCGUGAAGCCCCUUCGACGAGUCGAGUUGUUUGGGAAUGCAGCUCUAAAUUGGUGGUAAAUUCCAUCUAAAGCUAAAUACCGGCCAGAGACCGAUAGCGCACAAGUAGAGUGAUCGAAAGAUGAAAAGCACUUUGAAAAGAGAGUCAAAAAGUACGUGAAAUUGUUGAAAGGGAAGCGCUUGCGGCCAGACUUGCCCGCGGAUGUUCAGCCCGUCUUCUGGCGGGUGCACUCUUCCGCGGUCAGGCCAGCAUCGGUUUCGGCGGUCGGACAAAGGCCUUGGGAACGUGGCCCCCCUCGGGGGGUGUUAUAGCCCUCGGUGCAAUGCGGCCAGUCGGGACCGAGGAUCGCGCUCUGCUAGGAUGCUGGCGUAAUGGCCGUAAGCGGCCCGUCUUGAAACACGGACCAAGGAGUCUAACAUCUAUGCGAGUGUUUGGGUGUCAAACCCGUGCGCGUAAUGAAAGUGAACGGAGGUGGGAGCCCUCGGGCGCACCAUCGACCGAUCCUGAUGUCUUCGGAAGGAUUUGAGUAAGAGCAUAGCUGUUGGGACCCGAAAGAUGGUGAACUAUGCCUAGAUAGGGUGAAGCCAGAGGAAACUCUGGUGGAGGCUCGCAGCGGUUCUGACGUGCAAAUCGAUCGUCAAAUCUGGGUAUAGGGGCGAAAGACUAAUCGAA